This is a non-coding RNA of Triticum aestivum (bread wheat), 124 nucleotides long. The record is from Rfam. Lineage: Eukaryota; Viridiplantae; Streptophyta; Magnoliopsida; Poales; Poaceae.
CAGGUACUCCCUCGGAGGAAAAUACUUGUCGGAGAAAUAGGUAAAAAUGGAUGUAUCUAGAACUAAAAUGCGUCUAGAUACAUCCAUUUCUCCGACAAGUAUUUCCGGACGGAGGGAGUAUCAU